This is a long non-coding RNA of Gossypium arboreum, 375 nucleotides long. RefSeq lists it as uncharacterized. The record is from RefSeq and is a predicted model, not a curated record. The transcript is spliced from 2 exons. NCBI's taxonomy places the organism in Eukaryota, Viridiplantae, Streptophyta, Magnoliopsida, Malvales, Malvaceae.
UUCUUCUCCACCGAAAAUUCAGCCAUUGUUGGGGUUUGAAAGCUUGAAAAUUUCAGCAACUUGUAACCCUCUCAAUGCCACCUAAUUAGCUCGUGGAUCAAUGGACGUCGGAGGCAUCGAUCACACUAUCAAUCAAAGCACUUAGUAUAGUUAGAUCUUUUAUUUUGAUCAUGGCAUGUAUAGGACUUUGACUUUUGAGUUUUGUGUCAUUUUUAAUUGGCCAAUAUGUUAGCUUACUUUAGCAUUUGAUUCAGUUUGUAUAAGUCCAUGUGUGACAGCCCUAAUUUGACCCCAGUCGGGAAGUGGUUUCGGGACCACUAAACUGAGUUGUGAAAAUAAUUGAAUGAUAAAUUUUGUGCUUAAUUUGUGUGAAAA